ACGAAGGUGGCAAGCGUUAUUCGAAAUCACUGGGCUUAAAGGGUGCGUAGGCGGACAUGAUAGUGUCAUGUGAAAUCCCCCGGCUUAACCGGGGAAUGGCUUGGCAAACUCCAUGUCUUGAGGCAAGUAGGGGUGUGUGGAACUCUUGGUGGAGCGGUGGAAUGCGUAGAUAUCAAGAGGAACGCCGAAGGUGAAGACAGCACACUGGACUUGUACUGACGCUGAGGCACGAAAGCGUGGGGAGCGAACAGG
Molecule: ribosomal RNA, 252 nt
Filed under: uncultured bacterium
Lineage: Bacteria
Description: partial 16S ribosomal RNA
Rfam family: Bacterial small subunit ribosomal RNA
Source: RNAcentral